GGAUUAGCGUUAAUGACUACAAGACUUAAUUAGCCACUUGAUUAACUGACUUUAAAAUAAUCCACUUUAACGAGUAACAAAAAGUUCACCGGGGACAUUAGAUUAGGCUUUCUGAUGUUCACUGACACAUUCGGCCAAACCAGUUCUGCAGAUGCUGGAAAGCUCUGUAAACCUGUUCACUUUUUCUGAUAGGUUAUCAGUGUGAAAUGUAAAGUGUGGGUCUCCGGCAACAAACCGACAAAAAACAAAAGGCGCGCGCGCACAAACCCUAGCCGUUUGAAAAACAGUAAAAACGAAUUAGCGAUGCUAAACAUUUCUCUCAGUCGAAAUGUGUUAUCUUAAAAGCUUUUCGUUUCCGUAAUGGAUCAAAAAUAAUGUGUUUUCCCUAAAUCUCGUCAGGAGCUUUAAGUUUGAAAAGCCGCGGUGUGUCCCGUCUGGAGCCGCGUCGACGCCGGCUUCACAUUUUCUCUCUCAUUGAUCAGAAGUUGAGCCGCUUCUUUACGUUUUUCGAUCAUGUCUGCUGUUGAGUUCAUCAAAGACCUUUGUACUCCGGCGCUGAUCGUUGACCUGGAUAAAGUGAACAGAAACGCUGAAGGCAUGCUGGAGCGCUUCCACAAGCUAGGAGUUCAGCUCCGACCUCACAUGAAAACACACAAAACACUGCAAUGUGCGGACAUCAUGACAGGAGGCUCCCGUCGCUGUAUUGUUGUGUCCACUCUAGCCGAGGCAUCUUUCUACGCUGAUAACGGCUACGACGAUAUACUCUAUGCAUACCCUCUGCCAUUUGAUAAAGUGGAGCGCUGUGCCGAGCUGUCCGAGAAACUUUCUCUCUUCCACGUCGUGGUGGACAACCGCCUCGCCCUGCAGGAGCUGAAGAAGAGACCUCUGAAACGGGGAAAAGUCUGGAAGGUGUGGAUGAAACUGGACUGUGACAAUGGGAGAGCUGGUGUUCCUCAUUGUGACCCGACUGCACUGCAGCUUGCCCUGGACAUCUGGGAUACUUCAGGGGUGGAGCUGACGGGAAUUUACGCCCACUGCGGGAACACCUACGCCUGUCAGGGGGAGGAGCAAAUCAAAGCCGUCGCUCAGGAAACCACUACCAUUGUGCUACAGUUCAUGGAGAAGUUGAAGGCUGCUGGAAAACAAGGUGUCAAAUCCAGCAUUGGCUCCACCCCUUCCUGUAGCCACCCGGUCUCAGACAUGGCCAUGCUGAGUGAGGUGCAUCCUGGGAACUACAUAUUUUAUGAUGUGCAGCAGUCCCUCAUUGGGUCCUGUACACUCGAGGACGUUGCGGUACGGGUGCUGACACGGGUCAUAGGUCACUACCCACACAGGAAUCAGCUACUUGUAGAUUGUGGGUGGACGGCACUGAGUCAUGAUGGUGGGGGGCGCUUACCUACAGGAUACGCCGUCAUCGAAGGACACCCAGAACUCAAACUCCUGUCUAUGACUCAGGAACACGGCAGGGUGGAGCCCAUCUCUGGAAAACUGGACUUCAAGCAGUUCCCACUGGGGUCACUCCUCAAACUCAUGCCUUACCAUGUGAAUUACUAACCGUCUCCCUCAAAUAAAGCACACAGAAACACGCUGUAUUCAUCUGCAUGAAAGCGCAGUCUACAUCUGACUAAGCCAUCGCUUAUACAUCAGAAAUCGGUUUUCUUUCAGGACACUGAUUUGGACAUCAACACAGUAACAAAAAUGAUUGACCGAGUUUGAAAAUAUUGCGCAAGAAAUUUCAGCACAAACUUUGUUCAUCCUCAAUGUGUUGAGCGCACCUUUACCAUAGGCUUGUGCUACAGCUAUGAUGCAUCCGGUUUAUUUUGUCCAUUCUGAAGGGAAGAUUGUAGACGCCUGGAAACCCACCCGAGGCUGGUAACCGUUUCUAUCAGAGGGACUCCAGUACAGCUGGGGACUGCGGAUGGAAAUGUUUAGGUCUUGUAACAACUGUGGAUUUGCUGCACCUGCUUAUUAUAAAUCCAACUUAAGAAGUUUUCACCUUGACAAAAGUGUAAUGGUUUGAUUGAUGCAGCCCGCGCGGCUCACACUGGACUGAAAAAGAUUCUAGUUAAAACACUAAUGUUUACUUCACAUUUAGGAAGGAUUAUGAAAAUGUGAUUUUUAUUCUUUGAAUCUGACUGAGCUUGCAUGCGGUGCCUGAGUUUUGGAAAGAUCUGAAGUUCAAACUUUUUACGAGAUGUUAAUCUCAGUCUGUAAUAAAAUCAUUUAUCAUA
RNA transcript from Puntigrus tetrazona (Sumatra barb), 2231 nucleotides. RefSeq lists it as uncharacterized. The transcript has 8 exons. NCBI's taxonomy places the organism in Eukaryota, Metazoa, Chordata, Actinopteri, Cypriniformes, Cyprinidae. The record is from RefSeq and is a predicted model, not a curated record.